AAACACAAAUUUCGGGUAGAUAUUGUUUUUCUCUUCUGCUUUGUUUACUAGUUCUGGGGCAGGGUAGAUCACAGCAUCACUGCCCGGAUUGUAAAAUGAUGCAAUCGACAUGCGGGUCCCAUCUGUUUGAGCAAUCACUCUAUGCAUCACACUCUUGUACCUUCCAUUUGUAAUCACCUGAAAAAGAAAGAUAAUGUUUUUAGUACACCCUUUAUUGUUUCAAGAAACGGGUAUGAUUCUUUAAACAUGAAGUACAACAUUUUAUUGCAAUACUCUAUACUUGGGCUAAAUGCAAGAAGUUGCAAUAUAUUUGUGUAUUAUAAAAUCAUAUUUUCAUUUCUUUUGAUUACAACAAUGUACAUACUUUAAAAAUGUACCCAAACUAUAGCAUUGUAGCAUAACAUCCUAUUUUAAUUUUUUUUGUUAUAUUAUUGUACUUUUGGUUUUUUAUUAAGGCCCUUGUACUUUGAAAAAUCUACUAAAUUAUUGCAUUGCACUUUCAAUUUAUUUCUCAUUAAGACAUUAUAUUUUGAAAGUUCUAUCAAGCUAUACCUUUCUAUUUGGAUGACAUUGCUACAUUUAGAUCAAUUUUUCAAAAAACAAUGUUGUGAUAGGAACAAAUAGAAGUAGAUUGUUAUAAAAAAAAAACAAAUCAAUGAUAGUAUGUUGCUAUUUUUUGCAUAUGUUUAAAUGGAGUUUGGUUUAAAUUGUUGUAAUAUAUACCUCAAGUUGAUCACCCAAGUUGAUGACAAUCGAAUGAUGCAUAGGUGGCACAUCAAUCCAUUCUCCAUCUUUAAGUAACUGGAGCCCACUGACCUUAUCGUCCUGAAAGAGCAAUAUAACACCGCCAGCAUCGGUGUGGGCCCGCAGACCCUUGAUAAGAUCGGGCUUGGGGCAAGGAGGAUAGUUGCUCACCUUGG
Molecule: long non-coding RNA, 920 nt
Filed under: Lactuca sativa (garden lettuce)
Lineage: Eukaryota; Viridiplantae; Streptophyta; Magnoliopsida; Asterales; Asteraceae
Description: long non-coding RNA (LSAT_LNC007028)
Source: RNAcentral